GUGGGGAAUAUUGGGCAAUGGGGGCAACCCUGACCCAGCGACGCCGCGUGAGGGAAGAAGGCCUUAGGGUCGUAAACCUCUGUUGUGUGGGAAGAAGGAAGUGACGGUACCACACGAGGAAGUCCCGGCUAACUACGUGCCAGCAGCCGCGGUAAUACGUAGGGGACGAGCGGUGUCCGGAAUUACUGGGCGUAAAGGGCGCGUAGGCGGUCAUUUAAGUCAGCUGUGAAAUGGUCCGGCUCAACCGGAUCAUGCGGUUGAAACUGGAUGACUGGAGUGCUGGAGAGGCAAGUGGAAUUCCCAGUGUAGCGGUGAAAUGCGUAGAUAUUGGGAAGAACACCGGUGGCGAAGGCGACUUGCUGGCCAGCAACUGACGCUGAGGCGCGAAAGCCAGGGGAGCAAACGGGAUUAGAAACCCCAGUAGUCC
This 427-nucleotide ribosomal RNA is filed under the name uncultured bacterium. RNAcentral describes it as "partial 16S ribosomal RNA". It matches the Rfam family "Bacterial small subunit ribosomal RNA", at positions 354 to 796 of the family's 1533-position model. The record is from RNAcentral.